This 761-nucleotide ribosomal RNA is filed under the name uncultured bacterium. RNAcentral's name for it is "bacterial SSU rRNA". It matches the Rfam family "Bacterial small subunit ribosomal RNA", at positions 28 to 810 of the family's 1533-position model. The record is from RNAcentral.
AACGAACGCUGGCGGCGUGGAUAAGACAUGCAAGUCGAACGAGAGAAUUGCUAGCUUGCUAAUAAUUCUCUAGUGGCGCACGGGUGAGUAACACGUGAGUAACCUGCCCCCGAGAGCGGGAUAGCCCUGGGAAACUGGGAUUAAUACCGCAUAGUAUCGAAAGAUUAAAGCAGCAAUGCGCUUGGGGAUGGGCUCGCGGCCUAUUAGUUAGUUGGUGAGGUAACGGCUCACCAAGGCGAUGACGGGUAGCCGGUCUGAGAGGAUGUCCGGCCACACUGGAACUGAGACACGGUCCAGACACCUACGGGUGGCAGCAGUCGAGAAUCAUUCACAAUGGGGGAAACCCUGAUGGUGCGACGCCGCGUGGGGGAAUGAAGGUCUUCGGAUUGUAAACCCCUGUCAUGUGGGAGCAAAUUAAAAAGAUAGUACCACAAGAGGAAGAGACGGCUAACUCUGUGCCAGCAGCCGCGGUAAUACAGAGGUCUCAAGCGUUGUUCGGAAUCACUGGGCGUAAAGCGUGCGUAGGCUGUUUCGUAAGUCGUGUGUGAAAGGCGCGGGCUCAACCCGCGGACGGCACAUGAUACUGCGAGACUAGAGUAUUGGAGGGGGAACCGGAAUUCUCGGUGUAGCAGUGAAAUGCGUAGAUAUCGAGAGGAACACUCGUGGCGAAGGCGGGUUCCUGGACAUUAACUGACGCUGAGGCACGAAGGCCAGGGGAGCGAAAAAGAUUCGAUACCCCUGUAGUCCUGGCAGUAAACGGU